Molecule: ribosomal RNA, 538 nt
Filed under: uncultured Methanomicrobiales archaeon
Lineage: Archaea; Methanobacteriati; Methanobacteriota; Methanomicrobia; Methanomicrobiales
Description: bacterial SSU rRNA
Rfam family: Archaeal small subunit ribosomal RNA
Source: RNAcentral
GCGCGAAAACUUUACAAUGCGGGCAACCGUGAUAAGGAAACCCCGAGUGCCAGCACAGGCUGGCUGUCCUCCAGUGUACACAACUGGUGAAGAAAGGGCCGGGCAAGACCGGUGCCAGCCGCCGCGGUAAUACCGGCGGCUCGAGUGGUGGCCGCUUUUACUGGGCUUAAAGGGUCCGUAGCUGGAUCUGCAAGUCCCUUGAGAAAUCCAUCGGCUUAACUGCUGGGCGUUCAGGGGAUACUGUGGUUCUAGGGACCGGGAGAGGUGAGAGGUACUGCCGGGGUAGGAGUGAAAUCCUGUAAUCCCGGUGGGACGACCUAUGGCGAAGGCAUCUCACCAGAACGGCUCCGACAGUGAGGGACGAAAGCUGGGGGAGCAAACCGGAUUAGAUACCCGGGUAGUCCCAGCUGUAAACGAUGCGCGUUAGGUGUGUCAGUGACCACGUGUCACUGAGGUGCCGAAGGGAAACCGUGAAACGCGCCGCCUGGGGGAUACGGGUCGCGAAGGCUAGGAAACUUAAAGGGAAUUGGGCGGGGGA